GAUGAACGCUGGCGGCGUGCCUAAUACAUGCAAGUCGAGCGAACAGACGAGGAGCUUGCUCCUCUGACGUUAGCGGCGGACGGGUGAGUAACACGUGGAUAACCCACCUAUAAGACUGGGAUAACUUCGGGAAACCGGAGCUAAUACCGGAUAAUCUAUUGAACCGCAUGGUUCAAUAGUGAAAGACGGUUUUGCUGUCACUUAUAGAUGGAUCCGCGCCGCAUUAGCUAGUUGGUAAGGUAACGGCUUACCAAGGCAACGAUGCGUAGCCGACCUGAGAGGGUGAUCGGCCACACUGGAACUGAGACACGGUCCAGACUCCUACGGGAGGCAGCAGUAGGGAAUCUUCCGCAAAGGGCGAAAGCCUGACGGAGCAACGCCGCGUGAGUGAUGAAGGUCUUCGGAUCGUAAAACUCUGUUAUUAGGGAAGAACAAAUGUGUAAGUAACUAUGCACGUCUUGACGGUACCUAAUCAGAAAGCCACGGCUAACUACGUG
Molecule: ribosomal RNA, 497 nt
Filed under: uncultured bacterium
Lineage: Bacteria
Description: partial 16S ribosomal RNA
Rfam family: Bacterial small subunit ribosomal RNA
Source: RNAcentral